GGAAGGGCCAGGUCUCCCGGUGGGGCUCCCGGUCUUCAAAACCGGAGGGGUGCGCCCAGCGUGCCCGGUGGGUUCGACUCCCAUGCCCUUCCGCCA
This 96-nucleotide transfer RNA is filed under the name Aquabacterium sp. Its description in RNAcentral is "tRNA-Sec". It matches the Rfam family "Selenocysteine transfer RNA". The record is from RNAcentral. RNAcentral also lists the same sequence under 1 other name. Lineage: Bacteria; Pseudomonadati; Pseudomonadota; Betaproteobacteria; Burkholderiales; Sphaerotilaceae.